GACGAACGCUGGCGGCGUGCUUAACACAUGCAAGUCGAACGGAAAGGCCCUGCUUUUGUGGGGUGCUCGAGUGGCGAACGGGUGAGUAACACGUGAGUAACCUGCCCUUGACUUUGGGAUAACUUCAGGAAACUGGGGCUAAUACCGGAUAGGAGCUCCUGCUGCAUGGUGGGGGUUGGAAAGUUUCGGCGGUUGGGGAUGGACUCGCGGCUUAUCAGCUUGUUGGUGGGGUAGUGGCUUACCAAGGCUUUGACGGGUAGCCGGCCUGAGAGGGUGACCGGGCACAUGGGGACUGAGAUACGGCCCAGACUCCUACGGGAGGCAGCAGUGGGGAAUAUUGCACAAUGGGCGGAAGCCUGAUGCAGCAACGCCGCGUGCGGGAUGACGGCCUUCGGGUUGUAAACCGCUGUCGCCUGUGACGAAGCGUGAGUGACGGUAAUGGGUAAAGAAGCACCGGCUAACUACGUG
RNAcentral lists this ribosomal RNA (468 nucleotides) under uncultured bacterium. RNAcentral describes it as "partial 16S ribosomal RNA". It matches the Rfam family "Bacterial small subunit ribosomal RNA", at positions 28 to 507 of the family's 1533-position model. The record is from RNAcentral.